Long non-coding RNA from Aethalodelphis obliquidens (Pacific white-sided dolphin), 7656 nucleotides. RefSeq lists it as uncharacterized. The transcript is spliced from 14 exons. Lineage: Eukaryota; Metazoa; Chordata; Mammalia; Artiodactyla; Delphinidae. The record is from RefSeq and is a predicted model, not a curated record.
UCCGCGGCAUGUGGGAUCUUCCUGGACCGGGGCACGAACCCGCGUCCCCUGCAUCGGCAGGCGGACUCUCAACCACUGUGCCACCAGGGAAGCCCCGCUAUUUCUUGAUAAUCAAAUUCAGUUCAAAUAAUAUUCUUGAGCUUCCAUCAUGUAGGAGGCACUGUGCUAGGACCUUGGUGGGGAUACAGGGCACUCACUUCGCAGUUACAGCUUAACUUGGAGACAGCCCUGAACAUUACUAAUGAAAUGCAGCACAGUGUGUGUUUCAGCUUGUAAUGGGGGCCGAGAAAGCAAAAAUUAGCUCAGACUGAGAAAAUAUAAAUCUGCAUUGCCCUUCAUGAGGCACAGAUAAAGCCAGCUGCAGAGUUAACAGGAAACAGUAUUUCUCCCAUGGACAUGCUGCAGCCAUAAUGUGUCAUAACAACUCUCUUCAAGUGACUGCUGCUUUCUUACUCACUGAGAAACUUUGUUUUCUAAAUAUCAUAGACUAUCAGAAAUUUUGCUAUUUGAAAUUAUAUCAGUAAGAUGAAAUAUCCCCCUUUUAUGUAAUUCACUUUGAUACAAAAGUUGCCUUGGCUUGCAAAUGAGGGACAGAGCUUCAAAUAAGGGUUUGGGAACACAGCACUGAACAUAUUAACUUUUGUUUCCAAGGAUACAGAACCCUAGGUCCAAUUUGUUGUUCAAACCUUAUGUUCAGACCCUGAACAUGUACAGCGCCCUGCCUUGCUCUGAGCCUAUCACAAUGUUGAUUUAUUUAAAUUUCACCCUUCCGCCCAAAUUGGUAAUUUCCGCAUUUCCUCCAUGUGCAGUACAUGUGCAGGUACUUUCAUAGCAAUGGAUAUUGUCAGACUAUUGACUUUGUCAGACUAUUGGUUUGCUUCUGGAAGACUUAGGCUGAUUGGGCUAGGACAGAUGUCCACUUUGACAAUUCUCAAUUUAGCAUUAAAUCUAUGUGUAAUGUAUUUACAUAAUACAUAUGUUGCAUAUAUCCAUGUAUCCUGUUUUUUCACUUUUAAUGGUUUUGUGUGUAGAUAAUUUUUCUUCCACAAAGUAAUAUCUCUUCUUGGAGGGUGGCGUCUGUGCUUAAAAUUCCAUCUGAUUUUUUUUUUUUUUUUCAGUGUCUUGACCAGCAUUGUGCAUGCAGUAGAUGUUCGAUAAACACUUUCCACAAAGAAGCUUCACAUCUUAGCUGUUUCUUUGAGACUUUCUCCAAGUUUGAAACCUAACAGACUGUGGUAUCCUCUUCCUCACAAUUCUACCUCUGCUUAAUAAAGUGCAAGUUACCCAGGCAAUGAGGCGCGGUGCAGUUGAAGCUUUUUAUAGCUCCAUCUGUCUGCAGUCACCUAAAUGUCAGUGGAUAGAUGUGUUUGUCAUAAUGUGCAGUAAGUGCAAGUAAGCCCCCCGUUAAUAGUCUCACUAGAGAUAAAAUAGAUUGACAGGAACUCAGAGGUGAUAAACUGUCAGAUUGCACUCUAAGGAAAUACAGCAUGUCAUUGGUAGCUGAAAAUGUGCAGAAGUAAACGCACAAUUCCUCACUCCAACCUGAUUUGUUUUCAAACCUUUGCGUAUUUACUUUUGUUCAUCCACCACUUUGGUUGAAAUAAACCAUUAAUUAAAAACAGCUCAGGAAAACCACUGAUGACGUUAAUAGAUCUCAACACAGCAGCAGCAAAACAGUCUCAAUUCACCGAACUGCCUUCCAGGCGGGCCUUGCCCUUUCUGUAGAGGAUGGUGGAGAAGCAAAAGUCUCUGGCUCUCAGGGGCUGCUGGGGGAUCGAUGUCGCUGAUCAUCUUAUGCCUGAAGUAAUGCUUUUCCUUGAAACUUAGGUAUGCAGGGAUUCAUAAAACCAGCAGAAAUAGGAAGUAACAGAGAAAGCCUUUUGAGUAACCAGGAAGGAUUUGGUAAAAGCCCACACGCUGCGUAAUCCGUGCUCUUUCCUCAUGGUUGUGCCCCUUAGUUCAUGUUUGCCUGACACGCGGUCCUGAAAGCUCUCUGUUCCAGUGUUUGCUCCCUAAUGAAUGUCAGUAUAUUAGAUUCUGAGCUAGUGACAAGGGACUUACCUGUGUUCCUGUCCUCACAUUCCUCUGGAUGUACUAAAUGGUUUGAUUAAGCCCGAUCACUUCAGUGAUGAACACUGGAACGGUUUUAUUUUUCUCCACAGAACGCGCGUGAAGGAAGCCGGGGAGAGUCAGUCGCAAUGUGUGUUGUUAUGUUCCUCAGGAUCCGCUGUUUUGUGGUCUGGUUGUGUUAUUAAAAUUGCAGUCUCAAGUCAUUUCAAAACCCCUGUCCUUUACCUCAGCUCAGAUUGGCCGGGGCUGCCCCAGCAACUUGACGCUAAGACGUCCAUGCACCUUCCACGUUGCCAAAGCAGACAUCCAACUGGAGGAUACGAUGCAGACAUCUCCAAACACCAGAAAACAUUCUCUUAGAGCCGGUCCCCCAGCCUGGGUGAGAGUCUGGGGACAAACUGAACACGUCCCUUACUCUUUGCGAAGGAGAGAGAGAAACCACGUUCUCGAGAAGAAAACUGAGGUGGUAACCCGCUCCCCGUCUCCAGCUGUCUUUAUCCCGUCUUUGUCCCCGCCAGGCUGACAACCAGUGCUUUACAGACCACUGUCUUCUGCGGCUCCUGAUGGAGUUUCCCAUAAUGCUGAACCAAAUGAUGCUGAGAUGCUGAACCAAACAUCUCCAGGAUGCUGUUCUUCCUGGCUGGCUCUCCCUCUACACUGAGUCCCCAGUCCUGCCGUCCCCAGUAUCACUCCAGGAGUGGGUUUCAUUUUCAGGACCACAUGUGUUGCCGGAGAUGCUCUGACCUGUUGUGAGCUCAUCUUCUGAUAUUUGGCAGGAAGAAUCUACACACGUCAGCAAGGCCUGAAUGCACCGUGUAUGUGAAAGAUAAUGAACAUUCCCAGUCAUGAUCCUAAGCCUUGGUUUUGAUCAUUUUUCCACAGAAAGAUUCAAUUCUGUUCAAUAAAUAUUAAAAAACAGUUGAAAAAAGAAAGUGUUUAAAGGAGUAUAUUUUUUGCUACCUGGAAAACGUUGACAACUAGUUAAAAAUAUAACUACCAGUUAUAUAUAUUACUACCAGUAAUAUAACUACUAUAAUUCCCUGGCAGUCCAGUGGUUAGGACUCUCUGCUUUCACUGCUGAGGGCACAGGUUCAAACCCUGGUUGGGGAACUAAGAUCCUGCAAGCUGUGCAGUGUGGCCAAAUUAAAAAAAAAUAAUACAAAACAAAAUAAAAAACUACUAUCUAUUGAACACCUACUCUGUGCUAGGCAGUGUUUUCGAUACUUCACACUUAAUCCCAUGAAUUGGGCAUCACUAGGUCCAUUUACAGAGGAGAAAAAUGAAGCUGAGUACGGAUGAAAGACUUGACCAAGGCAGAAUCCAUUUGGAUACAUGUAACAGAAAAAUCCAACUCAAAUGGAUUAACUAAAUAAAUAAGAAUGUAAUCUUGUAUUGAAGCAGUCUCUAGGUAGGUUACUCCAGGAUUGAUUAAUCUGAUAAUCCACUGACCUCAUCAGGGACCCUGUUUUCCCUAUCUUUCUGCCGUGCCAGUCUCUGCACGGGAGGCUCUGUGUUUGGGCUGUCUCUUCCCAUGGUUGACAGUGAAUGGUUGCUUUUUCAGGUCUCCUGUCCGGACAUAAUCACGUCCAGCAGCAGAAGAGACUUCUCUUCCUGGAUGAUCUUUUUUAAGAAAACGGGCAAUUUCCUACACGCCUCCCAGAAGAUUUCUCCUUACGUCUCCACGAGCUUUCCCCUUUUCACUUAAAGGGAGCACUUUCUUUGGUUGGCAUCCGAAUUGCCAGCACCAGCGCUCUUGUGCAUUGGGGUCAUCAUUCAGUAAAAUAAGGGUGACGAACACAAGCCCGGAAGCAUCCCAGCUGUUGAUCUGACACCAGUCGGCUCCUAAGUGACCAAUAGGCGGCUGCGCCCAACAAAGCGCUGAUUCACAUCCGGGCGGGAUUUAAAACCGCGCGAGAUUUCAUCAUGCUGCUCAGAAUGGCGCGCUCUUUAAAAGAUCCUUCAUACUGCAUGCCCGGAUGCUAUACCAGAUUUCACCAGUGAGGAGGUGUGAUUAGCCUGGGGUCUCCACCUUCAACAGAGAUGCUCCAGAUAAACUCUUCUUUCAAGCAGAGUUUGAGCUACACCGCAGAUAUGUAAUAUUCCAAAGUAUGGAUAUUUUAACUAUUUCACGUUCUUAAGAGUUCGGCACAAUGAGGCAUGAGCCGGUACAGAUUCUCUACAGAAGCCUCAAAGCUGAAAACGACAUGACCCAAUCACUCCCACGGUCUGCAGAUCUGGCCAAGGAGUUGCCAGACCUACGCAGGGCCUUCUUGGAGGUGGCCAGGUCAUCCUACGAUCCUUGCUCCCCGCUCCACACUUCUGUGCUCCCCAGACGCUCCCACCCACUUCUCCUAAGACAAGAGAGAAGAGCCUUGAAGCUGUGAGGCUGCUCUGGGGCUGCCCAUAGAACAGAGCAUGGAGGGGAGUUCUUGGGAGAACUUGACACAAGACCUUGGGUGAGAGAAGGAAUUGUGAGCUUAUAGACUGGUACCUACUGCUUGCAGGGGAAAUCUGGAAGAUGGAGGUGAGUGGGGCCAGCCUGUGUUGUCAGGGCUCUGGGCUGCCUGCCUCUGCACCGCUUAGCCUGCCGAGGAUUGGUGAGUCUCCCGUGGACCAAGUGGAUGCUGUGGAACAGAGCUUCUGGUUGAAGAGGGUGGCUGGCCAGGCUACAGGUCAGGCCUGAGCUGGGAGAAGGGGAGAGACUUUCCGCUGCAUGUGAGAUUGGAUUUUGAUUUAUAUGGAGUCGGACUUUCCAGUUCCUGAAAGUGUUACCAGAUUGCUUUUCCAAGAGGCUGUAACAUUUCAUGCUUCCACCUGAAAGUACAAUUUCUCCACACCUCAACCUGCACUUCUAGAGGCUGCCCACGUUCCUUGUCUCAUGGCUCUCCUUCUCCAUCUUCAAAUCCUGCGGCGGUAAGUCCGUCUCAUGCUGCCAUCUCGCUGAGUCUCUCUUCUCCCUCCCUCUUCCACUUCCAAAGACCAAAGUGAGUACAUUGGGCCUACCUGGAUAAUCCAGAUUCAUCUCCCCAUGUCAACGUCAGUUGAGUAGCAACCUCAGUUCCAUCUGCAAACUUCAUUCCCCUUUGCCAUAUAAAGUAACAUAUUCACAGGUUCCAGGGAUUCGGUCACAGACAUCUUUGAGGGGCCGUUAUUCUGCCACAGGUAACCAGGAGUAAGGGGGUCCAUCCGAGUGUCACAUUCAGUUAAUUGCUAAGUUUUAUUGAUAGUAUUUUGGAACUCCCAACAGAAACACCCUUAUCUUUUACAUCUCCCUUGCUGUUUUCCUUACUGCCUCUCACAUGUAAUGCUUUUCUAAUACAUUAAUAGCUACAGAAGUCCAGCUUUUAGAAAGAGUAAAAAUGAUUGAGCCACUGAAGUGACCUGGGCAGGCCUCAUGGAGGGGGCUGGCCUUAGGGAAGAUGAUGAAUGUACAGGACAGGUUUCCAGAAGGGAUAUCUUGGGACAAAUGUAAAGAUUUCAAGUUAUUAGGAAUGGCUAGGGAUAGGUGGUGAGAAGAAAGGGUCGUGUUGGGGAAGCCACAUCAAGGAAGGGGAUGAUUCGAGAGGCUCCUGAGUUCCAGCCUGACUAUGGGUUUGUGUAAACAUACAGAUUGGCCUUCUGCAAGAGCGUAAGAUUGGGCCACGUCCUGGCCAGCCUGAUCCUGCCGGUGAGGAGGAACUGUGAGGCCCUGAUACUGCUCUGCUCUGCCCCUCAGACGUGGGAUGGAAAUGAAUCGUGAAUCUUCAGUUUCACCAAGAGCCUGCUUUGUAAACCAGUUUGAGGCCCACGCUCUUUGCAGCAUCCCAUUCAAAGAAAUUCAGGGUUUUCUCUUGCUGGCUGCCUCCAAGUUCCCAGGGUUUCACACAUUCUGCACCGGGCGGGCUCGCCAGGACAUCGAAGACCACUACCAACAGCUGCUACAAGUUUAAAAUCUUUAGAAGAAGGAACAGAUUGCAGUUUGCUCCUGAGGGUCACCACAGAGCACUGAGCAGAGUUCCCUGUGCUAUACGAGACCCUGGGUUGCUUGUUUCCGUAAAGGCUGCCUGUCAUCUCUUAUGGGACCUUCACGUGUCAGUGAUACCGGUUACCUCACGUCACAGCCCAUCAGUCGGCUUAUCUCCAGAAGAAUGUGAAAUUGCCUAACAAGCCUGCAAAUGUGAAGGGCUCCACGGUGGCUUAAUCACACAUGAUGUUCCCCUGUCUCAUCAGUCCCCAUACUGAGGCUGCACCUCUCAUUUCUUAGACAGAUACAUUUCCUAGAGCUGUGGCUGGGCUAUCCCAGUUGUGUGGGGUUUUAACUCCCAUUUCCCAAUUCCGGGAUGAAUUUCAUUCUGGAAGCCCUCCCGUGCCCUUCUCCCCACCUUAGAAUCUUUCAAUCAUCUCCUUCCCUAAAACUGAUCUGGGCAAUCUGGCAACAUGGCAAAAUUAUUUUAGCCCAGGCUUUUAACUGUGUUUGGAGUGAGUGAUAGCCUUGGAAACUUACUUGGGGGUAAUGCACACAUCCAAGUAUAUAUGUCCAGCAACGUUUGCCACUUCGGGAGGGUGUGUACUCCCUUGAUGCUCACCCUCUUUGCAGAAUUCUCCUGCCAGGGUCUUCUGUAAUCCACUAGCUGUCAGCAGGGAUGGUUGUGAUCAAAACUGCCCCCUCCAAAAACGGUGCACAUUCUGUGAAGUGAAAGACAUCAUGGUGGAUGCAAAGAUGAAUAAAGCGAUGGUCCAGCCCUCAACAAGGCAGAGGACCAUACAUUGUAUCAAAGAAAUUUUAAAGGUAAAAUGACUGAACCCAAAGAGACAUUUUUGCUGAGAUGGGAUGAGCUGAAAAGAGAUGUGUUCCCUGAAAAUUUCUGAAGAUGUGACUGUGGAAGCCAAUAUGAUAAUACAGAAUGAAAGUCAUGUACUGCCAGCGGAUUUAGGUGUUUUCUCGCCAAAUGUUAUGUUUGUUAAGACUGAGCUAUCAUCAAAACAAAACAAAGGAGUCGUUCAGGAAAUUGAAAGUCCCGGAAGAGCAUGUCUGAUUUUUUCCAAGCUCAGGUCAGCUGCUCACACUUUGUUUGGGGCAAGAGAGGCACAUUGAUUUACAGCUCCACCAGGACUGCACACAAUGAGGGAGAGGUGAGGCCCCUCCCCCCGCCCAAAGAAAUUUGGAGAAAAGGAAGGGAACAAAAACCAUAAGAGCCUAUUACCGGGAGUGAGUGCUUUGAGGAUAAAUGAUUUAAUUUGACUGCAUGAUUGAAGUAACAGGAUUGAAGCGCCUUCCUUUGCUAUGCAGACUGCACUGGGGAAAAUUAGUGGGCUCUGGCCCAAACCUGGUAUUUAGCCAGAUUUGAUUUUGCAAUUAGUGAAAUCUUCUAUCGGUUUGUGAUUUGACUUUGCUGCCACAUUUCUGAUAAAUUUAUAUUAGUGACGGUAAUAUCUAGAAAGCUAAAAAUUCCUCGGUUAUAAAUGAACACUUUUCAUUAAUAUUUAGAGAUUAAACUCAUUUCUUAUGAGCAGAUGGAAACAAAUGAUAACUUGGCCUUUACUGUACAAAAUUAAACAAUUUAUCAACAUUUAGGCAAACUGGAGGCGAGUUUUAAGUGCUAGAAU